RNAcentral lists this ribosomal RNA (465 nucleotides) under uncultured bacterium. Its description in RNAcentral is "bacterial SSU rRNA". It matches the Rfam family "Bacterial small subunit ribosomal RNA", at positions 31 to 507 of the family's 1533-position model. The record is from RNAcentral.
GAACGCUGGCGGCGUGCUUAACACAUGCAAGUCGAACGAGAACGGAUUAUAGCUUGCUAUAAUUGUCAGCUAAGUGGCGCACGGGUGAGUAAUAUAUAGGUAAUGUGCCCUAGAGAAGAGGAUAACAGUUGGAAACGACUGCUAAGACUCUAUAUGCCUUUAAGACAGAAGUCUGCAAGGGAAAUAUUUAUAGCUCUAGGAUCAGCCUGUACAGUAUCAGUUAGUUGGUGAGGUAAUGGCUCACCAAGACAAUGACACUUAACUGGUUUGAGAGGAUGAUCAGUCACACUGGAACUGAGACACGGUCCAGACUCCUACGGGAGGCAGCAGUGGGGAAUAUUGCACAAUGGACGAAAGUCUGAUGCAGCAACGCCGCGUGGAGGAUGACACAUUUCGGUGCGUAAACUCCUUUUAUAUGGGAAGAUAAUGACGGUACCAUAUGAAUAAGCACCGGCUAACUCCGUG